GCCACUGUAGCUCAGCGGCAGAGCGGCUGAUUCGUAAUCAGCAGGUCGGGGGUUCAAAUCCCUCCAGUGGCU
This 72-nucleotide transfer RNA is filed under the name Thermoplasmata archaeon. RNAcentral describes it as "tRNA-Thr". It matches the Rfam family "tRNA". Rfam says of the family: Transfer RNA (tRNA) molecules are approximately 80 nucleotides in length. RNAcentral also lists the same sequence under 2 other names. Lineage: Archaea; Methanobacteriati; Thermoplasmatota; Thermoplasmata. The record is from RNAcentral.